AAAGGGAUUUGUUUGAAAGGUGAUUGGUGCCAUUCUUGCACGCAUCCAAUUCAGCCAACAAUAAGCAGAGUCAAGCAGCUAUCCCUGCUUCAGAACCUCCAGUAUUUAAGAAGACUUUUGGCAGUCUGGAGAAGGGCACUCAGGAUAAGAAAAUUACUCAAACAAGUGUCCCUGAAGUCUGCAGAGUUGACUACUCAGGCAAAACCAAUACUUAAAUUUGAGUCUGCUCCUGCAAAGAAGGAAACUAAUAACAGUAAGCGUUUGCCACCAUCAGGUGUUGACAAUGAGCUUCGGGGAUAUAGGCCUGUGGAUACUGCUAACAAUGGAAACCGAGUCAGCUGACCACUCAUGUGCAGCAGCAGCCGCCGUUUGCAAGUAAACGAUCAUACUACUACGUUGAAUAAUAAGGAUUUAGAAGAACCGUCAAGGGAGCCUUCCCCUGGUUUUGAUGUUCUGGUGGAUAAUGAGCUAGGAGAUUCUGAUUAUUACCAUACUGAAGAUCAUUUUGGAAGAUCAAGGGAUCACGAGGAAAUGAAUGAAUAUUAUGAUGGUCGCUCUGGUGAUUAUGGUUCAUUAUUAGAUGCUGACCAGAUAUAUAUCGUGAUUCACGUGGUUAUGAUUCAUAUGAGCAGCUUCAGGGCCAGUAUGGCUGGGAGCAGCGUAGAUCCUCAUCAGAAAGGAUGUCUGGGGUUUUAGCUUAUCCAGAACAGAGGCGAUAUGUAUGGCUGAUAGCCCAGAUCAAAUUGAUGAAUCGGAUUUGAGACAUCAUUUGUCAAAGCAUAGAAGAGUCAAUGGCUUAAGGUCCGUCAUUAAUCAUGACUAUCCCCAUGAAAGACCUGAUGAGCAGGUCACCAGGGCUCUAGAAGGGACCUGCGCCAAGAUCGUGACAGACGGGAUAGCUCUCUUAGCAGUCGCCUCCGAGGAAGAAUAAAGAUUCCUGGGGCGUCAUCUUCACCAACUGAUGUAAGUGAUCUGCGGUCUGAUAGGGAGACAGAAAGGAGAAGGGAGCGCAGUGGAUUAUCUCCAGGGGGAUCACAGGUUCCUUCUCGGCUUCGAGACAGGAUAAAGGAAAAGUACAAGAGGAUUUCAAUAAUGAUGGAAGAAACAAUAGAGGUCUGCGCAUGAGAACAGACAUGAUAAGUGACAACAAUAUUGAUUUUGCUGCUCCAAAAAGUCUGGCGGAGCUGAAAAGUAGCAGCAAAAGUGCUGAUGGAAGUGAUCAGCAAUCAAUGGGAAAAAGGAAGUACUCAAAGAUUGACUAUCAACAGCAAGCUGGAGAGGAUCUCUCAUUUGAAGGGCCAAAGCCCCUAGAAGAGAUUUUGAAGCGAAAAAGAAAAAGUGAUUCAGUGGUGUCUGGAAGUGGCAUGACUUCUCAAUAUGCUGAAGACAACAGUCAAAGAAAAGCAGAUGAAAGCUCAAAACAGGUAGUUCAUUUCUCUCCAUCUCAGAAUGACUCCAGCCUCCCUCAUAAAGAGAAUGAAGAAUACAAAUUGGCAUCUGGUGUCAAGAGUGUCUCAGAAGGUGCCCAGUCAGGUGACAGUCAGUCGCUGUCCCAUGGUAAAAAUGAAGGAGAAGUUGAAGAAGGAAUGAUUGUUGAUGAUGCUACCAAGGUCCGAGAGCCUGAAGCAUAUGAUCAUGGUGAUGAAGACUUUGAUUAUGAGCAGGGGGAUGGGGACAAUUAUAACGUAGAUGAAGGAGAAAAUGGAGAUGCUGAAGAAGAAUAUCUGGAUGAUGAGGAUGGUGAUGAUGGUGAUGAUGACGACUUUGCCAAAAAGAUGGGUGUAAUGUACUAGCACCAAAGCAACGGGAGAUUUUUCUGUACUCUCUUGCUGCUGUUGGUUCAUUUAAUAGUGCAAAGCUUGAUGAGCUUGUUUAGAUUGGCUCUGAAAACAAUUGGCAAAUUUAGCUGCUCUACUGAUUUUGUGUUUAGAAGUAGAGUAAUUAAGGUUUUUUCCCCCUUUGUACCGAUCAGAAGCUUUGUGUAUUUAAGCUAUUGACUGGAUGGAAAAUUUUCAUCCUGCUUGUGGUCUUCAGCAUCCUUAGUUUUAUUAUUACAAUAGAGGUUCAUGACUGUAACAUUAGAUGGUUUAAUAAGGAAAAAGUUUUGAUGACUUGUUUGUGUGGACUUUCGCACUUU
This 2137-nucleotide long non-coding RNA is filed under the name Coffea arabica (coffee). RNAcentral describes it as "long non-coding RNA (CARA_LNC007499)". Lineage: Eukaryota; Viridiplantae; Streptophyta; Magnoliopsida; Gentianales; Rubiaceae. The record is from RNAcentral.